Regulatory RNA element from Flavobacterium haoranii, 130 nucleotides. It matches the Rfam family "Bacteroidete tryptophan peptide leader RNA". The record is from Rfam. NCBI's taxonomy places the organism in Bacteria, Pseudomonadati, Bacteroidota, Flavobacteriia, Flavobacteriales, Flavobacteriaceae.
GCACUAUACAAAAAACAAAAAUGAACAAUAUUUUAAACAAUACUUGGUGGUGGAUUAACUUACGUCGAAUGUCGUGAGCAAAUCCUGCUAUAGUAUAAUUUAAAAACAAAAUACUUAGAAAAGGCUUGUC